CGGCUCGUGGCUCAGCUUGGUAGAGCGCUCGGUUCGGGACCGAGAGGUCGCUGGUUCAAAUCCAGUCAUCCCGACCA
RNAcentral lists this transfer RNA (77 nucleotides) under Coriobacteriaceae bacterium. Its description in RNAcentral is "tRNA-Pro". It matches the Rfam family "tRNA". From Rfam's summary of the family: Transfer RNA (tRNA) molecules are approximately 80 nucleotides in length. Their secondary structure includes four short double-helical elements and three loops (D, anti-codon, and T loops). Further hydrogen bonds mediate the characteristic L-shaped molecular structure. tRNAs have two regions of fundamental functional importance: the anti-codon, which is responsible for specific mRNA codon recognition, and the 3' end, to which the tRNAs corresponding amino acid is attached (by aminoacyl-tRNA synthetases). tRNAs cope with the degeneracy of the genetic code in two manners: having more than one tRNA (with a specific anti-codon) for a particular amino acid; and 'wobble' base-pairing, i.e. permitting non-standard base-pairing at the 3rd anti-codon position. Lineage: Bacteria; Bacillati; Actinomycetota; Coriobacteriia; Coriobacteriales; Coriobacteriaceae. The record is from RNAcentral.